GCCCCAGUAGCUCAGAGGCCAGAGCGCCCGCCUUGUAAGCGGAUGGUCGCCGGUUCGACUCCGGCCUGGGGCU
RNAcentral lists this transfer RNA (73 nucleotides) under Kineococcus aurantiacus. It matches the Rfam family "tRNA". From Rfam's summary of the family: Transfer RNA (tRNA) molecules are approximately 80 nucleotides in length. Their secondary structure includes four short double-helical elements and three loops (D, anti-codon, and T loops). Lineage: Bacteria; Bacillati; Actinomycetota; Actinomycetes; Kineosporiales; Kineosporiaceae. The record is from Rfam by way of RNAcentral. RNAcentral also lists the same sequence under 4 other names.